RNAcentral lists this ribosomal RNA (460 nucleotides) under uncultured bacterium. RNAcentral's name for it is "partial 16S ribosomal RNA". It matches the Rfam family "Bacterial small subunit ribosomal RNA", at positions 338 to 795 of the family's 1533-position model. The record is from RNAcentral.
CCUACGGGAGGCAGCAGUGAGGAAUCUUGGUCAAUGGGCGCUAGCCUGAACCAGCCAAGUAGCGUGAAGGAUGACUGCCCUAUGGGUUGUAAACUUCUUUUAUAUGGGAGUAAAGUGCAGUAUGUAUACUGCUUUGCAUGUACCUUAUGCAUAAGAGUCGGCUACCUCCGUGCCAGCAGCAGCGGUAAUACGGAGGAUUCGAUCGUUAUCCGGAUUUAUUGGGUUUGAAGGGAGCGUGGGCGGGUUUUUAAGUCAGUUGUGAAAGUUUGGGGUUUAACCGUAAAAUUGCAGUGGAUACUGGCAUCCUUGAGUACAGUAGAGGUAGGCGGAAUUCGAGGUGUAGCGGUGAAAUGCUUAGAUAUCACGAAGAACACCGAUUGCGAAGGCAGCCUGCUGGACUGUAACUGACGCUGAUGCUCGAAAGCGUGGGGAGCAAACAGGAUUAGAUACCCUUGUAGUC